This 834-nucleotide long non-coding RNA is filed under the name Gossypium barbadense (sea-island cotton). RNAcentral describes it as "long non-coding RNA (GBAR_LNC005830)". The record is from RNAcentral. Lineage: Eukaryota; Viridiplantae; Streptophyta; Magnoliopsida; Malvales; Malvaceae.
AAGAAUCAAAAAGCGCCACAAAUUUACUUGGCACCAGCGCUUCUCGGUACUUUUCUUUUUGAAUUUCUCUUCCGCAGUACUAGUUUUGUUUGGUUAUUGAUUUCUGGGUUUUAAUGCUGUUAGAUUCUGGAUUUCCCUCCUUAAUAUAAUUGUAUUUUUUUUGAUGGUUUAUGUGAUGGAGAAGCUAUAUUAGUAUUGGAUUGUAGUUUAGAUAUUCCUGCCAUUUUAAACAGCAUGGCUCUUUCAUUUCUCCAUCAUAGUAAAAUAGUGAGCUUGGUUUGUAAAUUAGCCUCUUUUUUUUUUUUUUGCGUCGUUGCUAUUGCUGUAAGAAAAACAUUUUAUAAUUCUGAAGCCUAUUUUUGGAAGAAAAAGUAUGCAUAGUUUUUUGUUUUAAAUCAAGAACGUAUGUUUGGAAGUACUUUACGUUUGAACUGCUAGCAAUUUCUACUCAAAUAUGAUGAUUUUGCCACUUCCUUUUUAUAAUAUAUAUAUUUUUUUCUCUGUUUAGGACGUCGUCCAUUCAUAUUAACCCAAGGUAUCUCUCUCUACAAUCUGAAGUGAAUUUUCUACAAUCUCUCUCUACAAUUUCUGCUGUCGGCAAGUGUUAUCCCAGCAGUAAGUGUCCUAAAUUUCUUUUGCCGGACAACUGAUUUAGGCAACCCAAAUAAGCUCGCUUGAAAUGUCAAGCUGAUAAUCACCUGCAUCUAUGACCUCCAUGCUCUGCACGUUUGCAACAGGAAUUUAGCAAUAUUUUUGUAUGUCUUUUGAAAUUAUCUUCAAUCUUAUUUUCACGUUUGAGUCACCGGUUCAUUUCUUUCAGUGGUAUGUUUUCAG